This 1525-nucleotide ribosomal RNA is filed under the name uncultured bacterium. RNAcentral's name for it is "bacterial SSU rRNA". It matches the Rfam family "Bacterial small subunit ribosomal RNA". The record is from RNAcentral.
GAGUUUGAUCAUGGCUCAGGACGAACGCUGGCGGCGUGCUUAACACAUGCAAGUCGAACGGUGACGCUCUCUUCGGAGAGCUGAUCAGUGGCGAACGGGUGAGUAACACGUGGGCAACCUGCCCUCAGCUUCGGGAUAAGCCUGGGAAACCGGGUCUAAUACCGAAUACUCACGCUCGGCCGCAUGGCUGAGCGUGGAAAGGGUUUCUGGCUGAGGAUGGGCCCGCGGCCUAUCAGCUUGUUGGUGGGGUAACGGCCUACCAAGGCGACGACGGGUAGCCGGCCUGAGAGGGUGAUCGGCCACACUGGGACUGAGACACGGCCCAGACUCCUGCGGGAGGCAGCAGUGGGGAAUAUUGCGCAAUGGGCGAAAGCCUGACGCAGCAACGCUGCGUGAGGGAUGGCGGCCUUCGGGUUGUAAACCUCUUUCAGCUCCGACGAAGCCUCAUCUACUGAUGGGGUGACUGUAGGAGAAGAAGAAGCACCGGCUAACUACGUGCCAGCAGCCGCGGUAAUACGUAGGGUGCGAGCGUUGUCCGGAUUUAUUGGGCGUAAAGGGCUCGUAGGCGGCUGUUGCGUCUGCCGUGAAAUGCUGAGGCUUAACCUCGGACGUGCGGCGGAUACGGGCAGGCUAGAGUCCGGUUGGGGAGACUGGAAUUCCUGGUGUAGCGGUGGAAUGCACAGAUAUCAGAGGAACACCGGUGGCGAAAGCGGGUCUCUGGGCCGGUACUGACGCUGAGGAGCGAAAGCGUGGGGAGCGAACAGGAUUAGAUACCCUGGUAGUCCACGCUGUAAACGUUGGGCGCUAGGUGUGGGGCACUUUCCACGUGUUCUGUGCCGUAGCUAACGCAUUAAGCGCCCCGCCUGGGGAGUACGGCCGCAAGGCUAAAACUCAAAGGAAUUGACGGGGGCCCGCACAAGCGGCGGAGCAUGCGGAUUAAUUCGAUGCAACGCGAAGAACCUUACCUGGGCUUGACAUACAUGGUGCACCGGUAGAGAUAUCGGGUCCGUAAGGGCCAUGUACAGGUGGUGCAUGGCUGUCGUCAGCUCGUGUCGUGAGAUGUUGGGUUAAGUCCCGCAACGAGCGCAACCCUCGUUCCAUGUUGCCAGCACGUAAUGGUGGGGACUCAUGGGAGACUGCCGGGGUCAACUCGGAGGAAGGUGGGGAUGACGUCAAGUCAUCAUGCCCCUUAUGUCCAGGGCUUCACGCAUGCUACAAUGGCCGGUACAAAGGGUGGCGAUACCGCAAGGUGGAGCGAAUCCCAAAAAGCCGGUCUCAGUUCGGAUCGGGGUCUGCAACUCGACCCCGUGAAGUCGGAGUCGCUAGUAAUCGCAGAUCAGCAACGCUGCGGUGAAUACGUUCCCGGGCCUUGUACACACCGCCCGUCACGUCACGAAAGUUGGUAACACCCGAAGCCCGUGGCCUAACCGGUUCGCCGGAGGGAGCGGUCGAAGGUGGGACCAGCGAUUGGGACGAAGUCGUAACAAGGUAGCCGUACCGGAAGGUGCGGCUGGAUCACCUCCUU